Molecule: ribosomal RNA, 253 nt
Filed under: uncultured bacterium
Lineage: Bacteria
Description: partial 16S ribosomal RNA
Rfam family: Bacterial small subunit ribosomal RNA
Source: RNAcentral
UACGUAGGGGGCUAGCGUUGUCCGGAAUCAUUGGGCGUAAAGCGCGUGUAGGCGGUCCGGUAAGUCCGCUGUGAAAGUCGGGGGCUCAACCCUCGGAUGCCGGUGGAUACUGUCGGGCUAGAGUGCGGAAGAGGCGAGUGGAAUUCCUGGUGUAGCGGUGAAAUGCGCAGAUAUCAGGAGGAACACCAAUUGCGAAGGCAGCUCGCUGGGACGUAACUGACGCUGAGGUGCGAAAGCGUGGGGAGCAAACAGG